AGAUUGAUGAUGAUGAAUUUCUAAAACACGCGUGUUGUUUUAAAAUAGAACAUUUCAAACUGAUAAUGGUGAACAUUUUGGAAAUUGAAUCUGGAAACAGGCCAAUCGGACAAAUCAAAAAACCAGUGACCAUUGCUACGGAUCAUCAUGAUCCAUUUUGAAAAUGAAAAACUGAAUGGCC
Dermatophagoides farinae (American house dust mite) is the source of this 181-nucleotide non-coding RNA. The record is from RefSeq and is a predicted model, not a curated record. Lineage: Eukaryota; Metazoa; Arthropoda; Arachnida; Sarcoptiformes; Pyroglyphidae.